RNAcentral lists this ribosomal RNA (1236 nucleotides) under Listeria monocytogenes. RNAcentral's name for it is "partial 23S ribosomal RNA". It matches the Rfam family "Bacterial large subunit ribosomal RNA", at positions 296 to 1528 of the family's 2925-position model. Lineage: Bacteria; Bacillati; Bacillota; Bacilli; Caryophanales; Listeriaceae. The record is from RNAcentral.
UGUAGGACACUCUAUACGGAGUUACAAAAGAAAGUUAUAAAUGAAGCGGUCUGGAAAGGCCCGCCAAAGACGGUAACAGCCCGGUAGUUGAAAUGGCUUUCCCUCCAGAGUGGAUCCUGAGUACGGCGGAACACGUGAAAUUCCGUCGGAAUCCGGGAGGACCAUCUCCCAAGGCUAAAUACUCCCUAGUGACCGAUAGUGAACCAGUACCGUGAGGGAAAGGUGAAAAGCACCCCGGAAGGGGAGUGAAACAGUUCCUGAAACCGUGUGCCUACAAGUAGUUAGAGCCCGUUAAUGGGUGAUAGCGUGCCUUUUGUAGAAUGAACCGGCGAGUUACGAUUUGUUGCAAGGUUAAGCGGAAAAAGCGGAGCCGUAGCGAAAGCGAGUCUGAAUAGGGCGCAUAAGUAACAGGUCGUAGACCCGAAACCAGGUGAUCUACCCAUGUCCAGGAUGAAGGUAAGGUAAUACUUACUGGAGGUCCGAACCCACGCACGUUGAAAAGUGCGGGGAUGAGGUGUGGGUAGCGGAGAAAUUCCAAUCGAACUUGGAGAUAGCUGGUUCUCUCCGAAAUAGCUUUAGGGCUAGCCUCGAGGUAAAGAGUCAUGGAGGUAGAGCACUGUUUGGACUAGGGGCCCUUCUCGGGUUACCGAAUUCAGAUAAACUCCGAAUGCCAUGUACUUAUACUCGGGAGUCAGACUGCGAGUGAUAAGAUCCGUAGUCGAAAGGGAAACAGCCCAGACCACCAGUUAAGGUCCCCAAAUAUAUGUUAAGUGGAAAAGGAUGUGGGGUUGCUUAGACAACCAGGAUGUUGGCUUAGAAGCAGCCACCAUUGAAAGAGUGCGUAAUAGCUCACUGGUCGAGUGACCCCGCGCCGAAAAUGUACCGGGGCUAAACAUAUUACCGAAACUGUGGAUGAACCUCUUCGGAGGUUCGUGGUAGGAGAGCGUUCUAAGGGCGGUGAAGUCAGACCGGAAGGACUGGUGGAGCGCUUAGAAGUGAGAAUGCCGGUAUGAGUAGCGAAAGAAGGGUGAGAAUCCCUUCCACCGAAUAUCUAAGGUUUCCUGAGGAAGGCUCGUCCGCUCAGGGUUAGUCGGGACCUAAGCCGAGGCCGAUAGGCGUAGGCGAUGGACAACAGGUAGAGAUUCCUGUACCAGUGCUAAUUGUUUAACCGAUGGGGUGACACAGAAGGAUAGGGAAUCGCACGAAUGGAAAUGUGCGUCCAAGCAGUGAGUGUGA